Molecule: transfer RNA, 85 nt
Filed under: Pasteurella multocida subsp. multocida str. Anand1_buffalo
Lineage: Bacteria; Pseudomonadati; Pseudomonadota; Gammaproteobacteria; Pasteurellales; Pasteurellaceae
Description: tRNA-Leu
Rfam family: tRNA
About the family: Transfer RNA (tRNA) molecules are approximately 80 nucleotides in length. Their secondary structure includes four short double-helical elements and three loops (D, anti-codon, and T loops).
Source: RNAcentral
GCCUGGGUGGCGAAAUUGGUAGACGCAGUUGAUUCAAAAUCAACCGCCUUCGGGUGUGCCGGUUCGAGUCCGGCCCUAGGCACCU